This 2357-nucleotide ribosomal RNA is filed under the name Providencia rettgeri. RNAcentral describes it as "partial 23S ribosomal RNA". It matches the Rfam family "Bacterial large subunit ribosomal RNA", at positions 591 to 2925 of the family's 2925-position model. Lineage: Bacteria; Pseudomonadati; Pseudomonadota; Gammaproteobacteria; Enterobacterales; Morganellaceae. The record is from RNAcentral.
GGGUGACUGCGUACCUUUUGUAUAAUGGGUCAGCGACUUAUAUUCUGUAGCAAGGUUAACCGUAUAGGGGAGCCGUAGGGAAACCGAGUCUUAACUGGGCGAAUAAGUUGCAGGGUAUAGACCCGAAACCCGGUGAUCUAGCCAUGGGCAGGUUGAAGGUUGGGUAACACUAACUGGAGGACCGAACCGACUAAUGUUGAAAAAUUAGCGGAUGACUUGUGGCUGGGGGUGAAAGGCCAAUCAAACCGGGAGAUAGCUGGUUCUCCCCGAAAGCUAUUUAGGUAGCGCCUCGUGAACUCAUCUUCGGGGGUAGAGCACUGUUUCGACUAGGGGGUCAUCCCGACUUACCAACUCGAUGCAAACUACGAAUACCGAAGAAUGUUAUCACGGGAGACACACGGCGGGUGCUAACGUUCGUCGUGAAGAGGGAAACAACCCAGACCGCCAGCUAAGGUCCCAAAGUCAUAGUUAAGUGGGAAACGAAGUGGGAAGGCUCAGACAGCCAGGAUGUUGGCUUAGAAGCAGCCAUCAUUUAAAGAAAGCGUAAUAGCUCACUGGUCGAGUCGGCCUGCGCGGAAGAUGUAACGGGGCUAAACUAUGCACCGAAGCUGCGGCAGCGAUAUGUAAAUAUUGUUGGGUAGGGGAGCGUUCUGUAAGCCUGUGAAGGUGUGCUGUGAGGCAUGCUGGAGGUAUCAGAAGUGCGAAUGCUGACAUAAGUAACGAUAAUGCGGGUGAAAAACCCGCACGCCGGAAGACCAAGGGUUCCUGUCCAACGUUAAUCGGGGCAGGGUGAGUCGACCCCUAAGGCGAGGCAGAAAUGCGUAGUCGAUGGGAAACGGGUUAAUAUUCCCGUACUGGUGAUAAUUGCGAUGGGGGGACGGAGAAGGCUAGGCUAUCCGGGCGACGGUUGUCCCGGUUUAAGGAUGUAGGCAGGUGAAUUAGGCAAAUCCGGUUCACUACAUGCUGAGGUCCGAUGACGAGUCACUACGGUGAUGAAGUAGCUCAUGCCCCGCUUCCAGGAAAAGCCUCUAAGCUCUAGAUUAUCAUUAAUCGUACCCCAAACCGACACAGGUGGUCAGGUAGAGAAUACUCAGGCGCUUGAGAGAACUCGGGUGAAGGAACUAGGCAAAAUGGUGCCGUAACUUCGGGAGAAGGCACGCUGGCAUUAGGUGAAGUGAUUUACUCAUGGAGCUGAAGCCAGUCGCAGAUACCAGCUGGCUGCAACUGUUUAUUAAAAACACAGCACUGUGCAAACACGAAAGUGGACGUAUACGGUGUGACGCCUGCCCGGUGCUGGAAGGUUAAUUGAUGGGGUUAUCCGUAAGGAGAAGCUCUUGAUCGAAGCCCCAGUAAACGGCGGCCGUAACUAUAACGGUCCUAAGGUAGCGAAAUUCCUUGUCGGGUAAGUUCCGACCUGCACGAAUGGCGUAAUGAUGGCCAGGCUGUCUCCACCCGAGACUCAGUGAAAUUGAACUCGCUGUGAAGAUGCAGUGUACCCGCGGCAAGACGGAAAGACCCCGUGAACCUUUACUAUAGCUUGACACUGAACAUUGAGCCUUGAUGUGUAGGAUAGGUGGGAGGCUUUGAAGCGUGGACGCCAGUCUGCGUGGAGCCAACCUUGAAAUACCACCCUUUAAUGUUUGAUGUUCUAACGUUGCCCCAUUAUCUGGGGUGCGGACAGUGUCUGGUGGGUAGUUUGACUGGGGCGGUCUCCUCCCAAAGAGUAACGGAGGAGCACGAAGGUUGGCUAAGCAUGGUCGGACAUCAUGCGGUUAGUGCAAAGGCAUAAGCCAGCUUGACUGCGAGAGUGACGGCUCGAGCAGGUACGAAAGUAGGUCUUAGUGAUCCGGUGGUUCUGAAUGGAAGGGCCAUCGCUCAACGGAUAAAAGGUACUCCGGGGAUAACAGGCUGAUACCGCCCAAGAGUUCAUAUCGACGGCGGUGUUUGGCACCUCGAUGUCGGCUCAUCACAUCCUGGGGCUGAAGUAGGUCCCAAGGGUACGGCUGUUCGCCGUUUAAAGUGGUACGCGAGCUGGGUUUAGAACGUCGUGAGACAGUUCGGUCCCUAUCUGCCGUGGGCGUUGGAAGAUUGAAAGGGGCUGCUCCUAGUACGAGAGGACCGGAGUGGACGCACCACUGGUGUUCGGGUUGUCAUGCCAAUGGCAUUGCCCGGUAGCUAAGUGCGGAAGAGAUAACCGCUGAAAGCAUCUAAGCGGGAAACUUGCCUUGAGAUGAGUCUUCCCUGACUCUUUAAGAGUCCUAAAGGAACGUUUAAGACUAAGACGUUGAUAGGUUGGGUGUGUAAGCGUAGCGAUACGUUGAGCUAACCAAUACUAAUGAACCGUGAGGCUUAACCUG